This 104-nucleotide small nuclear RNA is filed under the name Macaca fascicularis (crab-eating macaque). The record is from RNAcentral. Lineage: Eukaryota; Metazoa; Chordata; Mammalia; Primates; Cercopithecidae.
CUCCAUUCAGUAGGAUAUAUACUAAAACUGGAACAAUACAGUCAAGAUUAGCUUGGCCCCUUGACAAGGUUAAAACAAAUAAACAAACAAAACAAAACAAACAA